Molecule: long non-coding RNA, 870 nt
Organism: Zeugodacus cucurbitae (melon fly)
Lineage: Eukaryota; Metazoa; Arthropoda; Insecta; Diptera; Tephritidae
Exons: 2
Source: RefSeq, a predicted model, not a curated record
GCUGUAUUUUUGUGUUUGUUAUUCGUCGCAAUGUUUUUGACUCAAGAGAACUAGUUGCCGGCACAACUUUAUCAGCUAGAACAUUUUAUAUACUCGUGUUUGGUUGUACAUACAUAAAUUUUAACAUGCAUGCUCUUAUCAAACCAUGUAGAAAAUAAGUACACGAAUAUUAUUUUAAAUGUUUUGUUCAAAUAGACGUACAUAUGACACUAAACAAUACGUGGUGUAAGAGCAAUACGACUUUUUGAACGUCUAACAGAUAAGUAUAUAUGCUUUUAUAAGGUAUUUUGAUGCUUUUUAAGUAGUUUAAUUAAAAAAGGACAAAAAAAUAUAAAGCAUUAAGAUUAUAAAUGCAUCCACCAAUAUAAGUGACACAUAUUCAACAAAACUAAAGGGAUCAUCACGUAAAUGUCCAAUUCCAAAAUUUUGUAUAACCAAUAUAAUAUUAUUUUUUAAUUGUUUGGUUAGCUAACAUUCCAUUUAGCUAAAGAAUCUUGCUGCCCUAUGGAUCUAUGCAAAAGUGAAUGACCGCAAAAUUUAACUGGAAAAAGAAAGCAACCGGUUUUCACUGCAAAUACAAUUCAUACCGAUAUUUUGUUGUUUUGAUAGCGUAACAGCAGGUGCAACAUAUUGAAUUGGGGCAGAUUUUUAACAAACAAUAUUCGAACGCUCACUUACCAGCUAGUCCAAAUACAACAACAGCCGGUACAUAAAAUGCCAAAUUGGGAAUGCUUUGUUGGAAUGGUGAUGAUGAACCAGUUAAAUCAACCAUUUUUUACACAAUCAAUUUUAAAAGUAAAUAAAGUAUAUAAAUAAAUUUGAGAUGUGAAGACAAAAAGUCGGCUUUACUAAAGCUUCGUCUGGUUGAAA